This 722-nucleotide long non-coding RNA is filed under the name Gossypium barbadense (sea-island cotton). Its description in RNAcentral is "long non-coding RNA (GBAR_LNC011602)". The record is from RNAcentral. Lineage: Eukaryota; Viridiplantae; Streptophyta; Magnoliopsida; Malvales; Malvaceae.
GCCACGCUACAUCACAACGGCAGGAUCUCAGGGGGCAUUACUUUUUACGUGGAUCAUAAAGCAGUGGUUUGAAUACCAUACUUUUUCUUUUUCUUCAAUUUUGAAUCAAUCAAUACUCAUCUUUAUUUUCUUACUUAGCAGUAGCAUAUUGAGGAAACCUGGACUCCGGUCUUUUGAGUUUUUCCCUCUUAGUGCUCAUCCAAAAUAUUUGGUCAUUACAAUUUGUAAGAUAUCUUGCAAUUUUUAGCCUUGAUUCUGAUGCCUCCCUUGCAUGUGGAGAUAUAUUAAUAAGGGAAAACUCUUUAAAUUCAUUGACCUAAUUUUAGUGAGAUGCGCGUGCUAAGUUGUUGCGUCAGUUAUGAGGAUGGGGCAUUACAAAAAAUUUCUUUAGUAUUGUUUCUUAAAAGUUUUUUUGAGCAAAAGUUAAAAUUUUUUUCUUCUACUGGUUAAAAAAUACUUUGCAACAUUUUUAAAAAGCACAAAAAUAUUUUAAAAAAAUACAAAAACAUCUUAUUUAAUAAUGUUUUUACCUGAAAGGUAUAUUAAACUGAUCCGAGGAUGUUGGUGAUUGUCAAAGCCAGGCACGCGCUGCAGAAACAAGUGGGCUAGUUGGAUUUCAUCUCCAGUUCCAUGGUGGUUGACCCGAAUGCCAGGUGACGGACAUAUAUUUGUCGGUAUUCCCUCUACCACAGCCUGGAUUUAUGGAUGAUUUUUGAGGUCCC